CCUACGGGGGGCUGCAGUGGGGAAUAUUGGACAAUGGGCGAAAGCCUGAUCCAGCCAUGCCACGUGUGUGAAGAAGGCCUUCGGGUUGUAAAGCACUUUCAGUGGGGAAGAAAGCCUUGGGGCUAAUACCCUCGAGGAAGGACAUCACCCACAGAAGAAGCACCGGCUAACUCCGUGCCAGCAGCCGCGGUAAUACGGAGGGUGCGAGCGUUAAUCGGAAUUACUGGGCGUAAAGCGCGCGUAGGCGGUCUGAUAAGCCGGUUGUGAAAGCCCCGGGCUCAACCUGGGAACGGCAUCCGGAACUGUCAGGCUAGAGUGCAGGAGAGGAAGGUAGAAUUCCCGGUGUAGCGGUGAAAUGCGUAGAGAUCGGGAGGAAUACCAGUGGCGAAGGCGGCCUUCUGGACUGACACUGACGCUGAGGUGCGAAAGCGUGGGUAGCAAACAGGAUUAGAUACCCCUUAGUC
Molecule: ribosomal RNA, 464 nt
Filed under: Vreelandella stevensii
Lineage: Bacteria; Pseudomonadati; Pseudomonadota; Gammaproteobacteria; Oceanospirillales; Halomonadaceae
Description: partial 16S ribosomal RNA
Rfam family: Bacterial small subunit ribosomal RNA
Source: RNAcentral